This 30-nucleotide non-coding RNA is filed under the name Mus musculus (house mouse). The record is from RNAcentral. Lineage: Eukaryota; Metazoa; Chordata; Mammalia; Rodentia; Muridae.
UGAGGUUGAUAAUUCUCCUUUAGGAGCUGC